RNAcentral lists this transfer RNA (61 nucleotides) under Kosemia yezoensis. RNAcentral describes it as "tRNA-Glu". The record is from RNAcentral. Lineage: Eukaryota; Metazoa; Arthropoda; Insecta; Hemiptera; Cicadidae.
AUUUAUAAAGUUUAUAAAACAUUUCAUUUUCAUUGGAAAGAGAGAUUAGGUCUUGUAAAUA